RNAcentral lists this ribosomal RNA (497 nucleotides) under uncultured bacterium. RNAcentral describes it as "partial 16S ribosomal RNA". It matches the Rfam family "Bacterial small subunit ribosomal RNA", at positions 28 to 507 of the family's 1533-position model. The record is from RNAcentral.
GAUGAACGCUGGCGGCGUGCCUAAUACAUGCAAGUCGAGCGAACAGACGAGGUGCUUGCUCCUCUGACGUUAGCGACGGACGGGUGAGUAACACGUGGAUAACCUACCUAUAAGACUGGGAUAACUUCGGGAAACCGGAUCUAAUACCGGAUAUUAUAUUGAACCGCAUGGUUCAAUAGUGAAAGACGGUUUUGCUGUCACUUAUAGAUGGAUCCGCGCCGCAUUAGCUAGUUGGUAAGGUAACGGCUUACCAAGGCAACGAUGCGUAGCCGACCUGAGAGGGUGACCGGCCACACUGGAACUGAGACACGGUCCAGACUCCUACGGGAGGCAGCAGUAGGGAAUCUUCCGCAAUGGGCGAAAGCUUGACGCAGCAACGCCGCGUGAGUGAUGAAGGUCUUCGGAUCGUAAAGCUCUGUUAUUAGGGAAGAAAAAAUGUGUACGUAACUAUGCACGUCUUGACGGUACCUAAACAGAAAGCCCCGGCUAACUACGUG